CGCCGCCAUCAUGCGGGAGGGCCCCAACCUCUUGAAGCUGGCGCGCAAGGAGCAGUGCCUGGCGCUCGGCACCAGGUUGCGCUCCAAGUACAAGAUCACCUACCAGUUCUACCGCGUCUUCCCCAACGGCGAGGUGCAGUACCUCCACCCCAAGGACGGCGUCUACCCGGAGAAGGUCAACCCCGGCAGGGAGGGCGUCGGCCAGAACUUCCGCAGCAUCGGCAAGAACGUCAACCCCAUCGACGUCAAGUUCACCGGCAAGGCCACCUUCGACUAAUCACACUUCACGUACGCCGCACGCCCCAGCCGGGAUCCAAAUUAAAGAACUUCUUCUUCUAUUAAUUACAGUAUAUUGUAAUUUGGCUGCUGGUACGGUGGUGGCAUGAUUUGAGAUGUGCAUGAUGAUCCUUGUGUAAUUUUAUUACCAAGUCUCUUCUUAUAUUUACAUGUUCAUUUGCUUGCUUCUUGCAUAACAUAACGCCUAUCGACAAUGACCAUCAUUAGUUUUAGUCCUACGUGUAUUUGAUUCAAUCUCUCCGUGUUUAUAGUAUAAAUUCAACCAAACUAAAG
RNAcentral lists this long non-coding RNA (570 nucleotides) under Zea mays. RNAcentral's name for it is "long non-coding RNA (ZMAY_LNC000174)". The record is from RNAcentral. Lineage: Eukaryota; Viridiplantae; Streptophyta; Magnoliopsida; Poales; Poaceae.